GAUUAACGCGAAGAACCUUACCUACCCUUGACAUGCCAGGAAGUUGGCCGAGAGGUCGAUGUGCCCGAAAGGGAACCUGGACACAGGUGCUGCAUGGCUGUCGUCAGCUCGUGUCGUGAGAUGUUGGGUUAAGUCCCGCAACGAGCGCAACCCUUGUCAUUAGUUGCUACAUUCAGUUGGGCACUCUAAUGAGACUGCCGGUGACAAACCGGAGGAAGGUGGGGAUGACGUCAAGUCCUCAUGGCCCUUAUGGGUAGGGCCUCACACGUCAUACAAUGGCGCAUACAGAGGGUUGCCAACCCGCGAGGGGGAGCCAAUCCCAGAAAGUGCGUCGUAGUCCGGAUUGCAGUCUGCAACUCGACUGCAUGAAGUCGGAAUCGCUAGUAAUCGCGGAUCAGCAUGUCGCGGUGAAUACGUUCCCGGGCCUUGUACACACCGAAUCACUAGU
Molecule: ribosomal RNA, 448 nt
Filed under: uncultured bacterium
Lineage: Bacteria
Description: bacterial SSU rRNA
Rfam family: Bacterial small subunit ribosomal RNA
Source: RNAcentral